This 500-nucleotide ribosomal RNA is filed under the name uncultured Bacillus sp. Its description in RNAcentral is "bacterial SSU rRNA". It matches the Rfam family "Bacterial small subunit ribosomal RNA", at positions 1000 to 1499 of the family's 1533-position model. The record is from RNAcentral. Lineage: Bacteria; Bacillati; Bacillota; Bacilli; Caryophanales; Bacillaceae.
CUAGAGAUAGAGCGUUCCCCUUCGGGGGACAGAGUGACAGGUGGUGCAUGGUUGUCGUCAGCUCGUGUCGUGAGAUGUUGGGUUAAGUCCCGCAACGAGCGCAACCCUUGAUCUUAGUUGCCAGCAUUCAGUUGGGCACUCUAAGGUGACUGCCGGUGACAAACCGGAGGAAGGUGGGGAUGACGUCAAAUCAUCAUGCCCCUUAUGACCUGGGCUACACACGUGCUACAAUGGAUGGUACAAAGGGCUGCAAGACCGCGAGGUCAAGCCAAUCCCAUAAAACCAUUCUCAGUUCGGAUUGUAGGCUGCAACUCGCCUACAUGAAGCUGGAAUCGCUAGUAAUCGCGGAUCAGCAUGCCGCGGUGAAUACGUUCCCGGGCCUUGUACACACCGCCCGUCACACCACGAGAGUUUGUAACACCCGAAGUCGGUGGAGUAACCGUAAGGAGCUAGCCGCCUAAGGUGGGACAGAUGAUUGGGGUGAAGUCGUAACAAGGUAA